This 4734-nucleotide long non-coding RNA is filed under the name Panax ginseng (ginseng). Its description in RNAcentral is "long non-coding RNA (PGIN_LNC001982)". Lineage: Eukaryota; Viridiplantae; Streptophyta; Magnoliopsida; Apiales; Araliaceae. The record is from RNAcentral.
GCAUAUCUCUCUCUCUCCAAAAUGGUCUCCAACGUAGCUUGUAUAUCUGCUAUUUCUCCCCAAAAUUGACUCCAACGUAGCUCGAAAAAUCGCAGCAAGCAACACGGAGAGGUCGAAUUAGAGGAAUAAGAGCACAAACGCCCAGAUCUCAGACUUCAAUUUGGUAAACCCUAAACUAUUUUCAGCAAUUACAACCGUAAUUUAUGAAGAUUUGCUGCAAUUUUUUGAUCUACUCUUUUUGACUGAAUUGCAUAUCUGACCCUCCUAUUUGUAAUGUUUUUGCUAAACUGUUUCUUAAAAAAAAAAAAUUUAGUACUCGUAGAUGCAUUAGUUAUGCAAAAGUGUUCCUCCUUUUUUCUGUUAAAUCAUUUAACAGCCAUUAAUUAAGCUAGAGGCAUAAUGGGCAUGCCAAGAAAGGAAAAGAAAAUGAGAGGGAAACCAUAAUGGUACAACUUAUUCCCUCCAAAACAAGUCUUCACCGUCAAUUAGACAAUUACUAUAACUGCUAUUUCUCUUCCAAAACUAAUGGAUGUGCAUGCUUCCAGUAUACUGCCAAUAAGCUCUUCAAAUAGUUUAAAAUAGUAGUGCAUUAUCUAAUCCAUUGAAAGAAACCUACACAUGCAAUGAACAAAUAAAAUAUUGGGAAGAAAACACACUAUCUUUGGUUAACUAGACAAAAUAAAUUGCACGGAAUAUAGAAUUCUUUAUUUUAUUGUAUAUUCCAGUCAAUAUGUAUAUAAAGCAUCUAACUUUCUCAACAAUGAAAACAAUAAACGUAAAUUUGUAGAAAACAGAGGCCACAACGUAAACCUAUACCUAUAAUUCUUUCAACCUUUUGUGCCAAAACCAUAUCAUGUAAACGUAAACCUAUACCUAUAAUUCUAUGACAUAUAGAAAACAGAGACCACAACGUGAUCCCAAAUAGAAAAAAUUGGAAUAUUCAAAAAAAUUCAGUCAUGUCAAUCAAAGCAAUAAAGACAUUUAAAUAUAGCUCCAUUCUAAAUAUUAAGUCAUUAAUUUCUUUCCCUUUUUGUACAGAGUUCAUUAAUCCACACGUAGACAGUAGAGUCCAUCAAUCCACACACAGUCUACAUAUCUCAAAACUAUUGAUACCAACAAUAAUUUCAUGGCGAAAAACAUUGCCAAUUAAUACCCAAAAAGAUUAGUUAAAUAUUUGAAGUAUUUCUUAACGAACAUCAAAAACAUAAUAAACUACUUAUUUAUUGUCUUCUUGCAACCCUUAAUCACCACUUCCUUGCAACCUUGAGAUGGCUUUUUGGUUUUCCACUCCCGCAAACUACAUUUCAGGUUAUGUGAAUAUAAAUUAGAGAUGACAUUCAAUUAAAAAAAUACACUGUAAUUAUAAAAUGACAUUAGUUAUUUAGAUGUAGCAAAUGAUGACUCAUUUGGAUUCAAGUUAUAGACCCUCGUUGGUGGUGGCAGUGGUGACUCAUUUGAAAUCUACACAAAUUCAUUUAAAAUGGCAAUCAAUUCAUUUAAAAUGUUAAUCAAGGACAAGCAAGUGAAAACAAUGGUAAAUAUAAUUAUAAUUAGUAAUAUUACCCUUGUAGAUGUUGCUGAUGUAGCUCUACGAGGCACCCAUGAUUUUCUAUAUGGUGGAGGUUUAGACUUAGGGACCCAUGUUUCUUUAGGCCUUUUUACCUACAUACAAAAUCAUAAUAAAUAUAUAUAUAAGAAUAAACUAUAAUGUUAUUAUAAAAUAAAUAUACGUACUGGCAGUUUUUGUUUUCUAAUGCCUUGAGCUGGUUCCCUGAUAUUUCCAUAAUGUUCAUUUCCUUGACCUCCAAAUGUUAUUGGCAUCUUGCACCCUUUUUUGUUGUGGCCAUAUUUACCACACCUUUUGCACCUCACCUUGUAAGGUCUUCUCUUAAUUCUAGUUGGAUUCGCACCUCCUUCAACCUCUCCUUGGCUCUUCCUCCUAACACUUUGUGGUCUACCAAGUUUGAUAAUGUAUGCAGGGGGUAACAUAGGUGGUAGGUUUUGCUUUUUCCAAAAUUCUGAUGAAGGUACAGGAUUAAUGAUUCCAGCAUAUGUCUGUCUAUAAGUCUCAACGUCAUACCACUCAUGCACAUAAUCUAGUGGAUCUUGAUCAUUGUAAAAUAUGGCUCUAAUCCCAUGGCAUUGGCAGCAAGGUAUACCAUUCAAUUGCCAUUUUCUACACGUGCACUCCUUUGUAUAUAGGUUAACUGAAAACUGAGAACCAAAUGUUUCAGUCACUUGCCAUAUCCUGCAUAAAUUGCAAUGCAAGCUCUAGAAUCAACCUUCAAGCAUUCCAACUUCUCAACUAUAGAUGGACAAAUCCUUUUAGAAUUCCAUUUGUCUGGUCUAUCCCUUGCUUCUUGCAUCCUCUUCAUACAAUAGUCCCUAAGUCCUUCCAUUAGCCCAAGUAUUGAUUUACCUCUUGGCACUCCAAUUUUGCUGUUAAAAACUUCACAUAAAUUGUUGCAUAACAUAUCACAUUUGGGAAAACUACUGAAAUAAACCCUACACCAGUGCACAGGGUCUUUGUCAUCAAGCCAGGAACAUGCUUUGGCAUCCAUUGUCUUCAAUGCUUUGAUUGCUAGCUGAAAAGUACCUUCGGUAGUUGCUUUGGCACAAUCCCAUAACUUCUCUCUGAGUGCCAAUCCCCUAUGACAUGCAGUUCUGAAGUUGUUAUACAUGUGCAUAAAACAAAAUCUAUGAUCAGAUAAUGGACUAACAUCUUCAAGUGCUCUAAUAAGGCCUUUUUGUUUAUCUGAGAUAAAUGUAUAAGCACUCUCAUUUACAAUGUUUACAUCCUCUUUUAAAAUCUCUAAAAACCAGGUCCAUGGCUCUAUUUUUCCCUUCAACAACAGCCCAUGCUAUGGGAAAUAUAUUGUUAUUCCCAUCUACACCAAUCACAGUAAGCAAUAAUCCUUCAUAUGGCACCUUUAAGAAGCAACCGUCUAACCCUAUUAAUGGUCUGCAAUGUUUGAAACCCUCCUUGCACGCACCCAAACAAACAUACAUUCUUUCAAAUACUGGUUUUCCAGUAGCCAAUGUACAAUGUGCAGCAUCUAAUACAACAGUACUAUCUGGAUUCUUCUCUUUCAACUCUUCCACAUAGUUAUACAGAUUUGCAAAUUGCUCAACAAUAGUACCCUCAAUAAUAUUUUGAGCCUUCUUUUUCACCCUAUAUGCCUUGUGAGUAGAGACAUCUAGUUGAUGCUUUGCUAAAACUGUUUUUUGAAACUCGCCCACAUUCAUCUUUGGAUGAAUUAUAUAAUCCUCCAAGUAGUUAUGAGCCAACCAAUCUGCAGUCAUAAACUUGUUUGUAGACUCUCCAGUACAACUACCAUGGUCAGGUAUAAACCUUUUCACUUGGACAGUGUCUUCCCCAGCUUUGUAUUGCGAUGCAAAUAUCCUCCAAGGACAGCCUGAAGUAGGUUGACAUCUAAAUCUGAUUCUAAAUUUCUCAUUUUUUGUCAAUUUAAAUGUUCUUCUAAUGACAAUUGAAUGCCACUUCACAGCUUCCUUGAAUGCUUUGUUAUCUUUGAAAAGCAUCCCCACCUCAAAUUUUGGGUUUUUAGGAUCUAACAUGUGUAUCUUUGGAUCAUAAACUGGAUAUGAAGGAUAUUCAUCAUCAUUGUCCCUGUAUGGCGGCAUCUCAUCUGAGCUAUACACUAGUUCAUCACAAGUAUCGGCCCCAACAUAGUUUCCUACCCCAACUUUUCUUUUCCUGCUUGUAGUUUUCACACCAUCAUCUUGCUGCUUAUUGACACUUAUAAUUUGUUUGUCAUUAUCAAGAACAAUAUCGUCAUUUAUCAAUGGUUUUUUACCCUUUCCAGGUCUCUCAGUCCCAUCAACUUCAAUUCCUUUGGUAACAUGUGUAUCAUAGAUUUUAUCAUCAUCUUCAUCAUUUUCAAAAUUGCUAUCAUCCAAAUGUAUAUAUGAAGCAUCACUAUCGUCAUGUUCAUCUUCUGCAUAGUUAAGCUCUGCAUCUUCAUUUUCGGCAUUUCUUACAUUCUUGGUAUUUUUUGGAUCUUCAUAUUCAAACUCACUAUCUUUAUAAUCUGCCUCUUCAUUUUGAACCUCACAAUUUUUGUCUUCACUAUCAUCAAAUUCAUUAUCCGCAUAGUCAGAUUCAUCUAUAUUGAUAUCACUCAUGCCCUCAUUCUCAUUAAGAUAUAUCACAUCUUCAUUCCCAAAUGAGUGUUAUGUUGGCUGACUUUGUUGUGUCCCAGUUAUUGCAUGUAAUAUCUCGAAAGUCCUCAAAUAAAUUUCGACUUCAUAAUUUUCAGGAAUAAAAUUUUUAAGACCUGAAAUCAGUUUGUAAACAGUCCAUUUGAUAAGUUGUAGGCUGUUUGUGGUAGAAACUAAAGAUCCCUUUGUGCCCCAACAAGUAAGCCAUAUAAUUCAAGUCGGUCAUUGUUGUAGUCUCAAAAUUACAAUAAUCAAUAUAACUCACUUUGCCUUUUGUGUAUUCAGUCCCAUCCUUAGAAAAUUGACCUCUAUGAUGCAAUUUUAUUGUGAAGCAACUGUCGAGCAUUAACUGACCUUCAAGACAAUAUUAAACUAUAAUUAGGAACCACAAUAUAAUAUAACAUUAUACAAACAGAGAGGGCUGUCAACAUAUGAUAUAACAAUUACAAACAGUUUGCUAAAUUAACUGCAAAUCCGACAAGUAUGCAAAGGAAAAUCUGGCUUCUCUGCUCGCUCCACUGCUGAGCAAGUUACCAAAGGAGUUGAUGGAAC